GUCCGUACGUACACGGAACUUUUGCUACAGUGAUUUAAAUCCUACCGGCUUUUCGCCUCACACCGGCUAUUUUGAGAACUUUCAGUCCUAUACAGUGAUUUACAGUAAAUUUUACGGGCCUUUCGCCUCUCACCGGCUGACAAUUUUUCAUGCGACAAUGCGACAUGCAAUGAAAUAUAUUCUUCAUGCCAAAUAACAAAUGGAAAUUGGAAUGGUCAGUAUUACUUACAGUGGUCAUUAUU
Non-coding RNA from Paramuricea clavata, 242 nucleotides. The record is from the annotation of a GenBank genome assembly. Lineage: Eukaryota; Metazoa; Cnidaria; Anthozoa; Malacalcyonacea; Plexauridae.